RNAcentral lists this transfer RNA (77 nucleotides) under Granulosicoccus sp. RNAcentral's name for it is "tRNA-Arg". It matches the Rfam family "tRNA". Rfam says of the family: Transfer RNA (tRNA) molecules are approximately 80 nucleotides in length. Their secondary structure includes four short double-helical elements and three loops (D, anti-codon, and T loops). The record is from RNAcentral. RNAcentral also lists the same sequence under 2 other names. Lineage: Bacteria; Pseudomonadati; Pseudomonadota; Gammaproteobacteria; Chromatiales; Granulosicoccaceae.
GCGCCCGUAGCUCAGCUGGAUAGAGCAUCCGCCUUCUAAGCGGACGGUCACAGGUUCGAAUCCUGUCGGGCGCACCA